AGAGCUUGUCCCUAAAGAAAAGGUGUCUAGCUGAUAAUUAGAUUUACUGAGGGUUAAAUUCCCUUCAAGCUCUA
RNAcentral lists this transfer RNA (74 nucleotides) under Araeosoma owstoni. RNAcentral's name for it is "tRNA-Ile". It matches the Rfam family "tRNA". Rfam says of the family: Transfer RNA (tRNA) molecules are approximately 80 nucleotides in length. Their secondary structure includes four short double-helical elements and three loops (D, anti-codon, and T loops). Further hydrogen bonds mediate the characteristic L-shaped molecular structure. tRNAs have two regions of fundamental functional importance: the anti-codon, which is responsible for specific mRNA codon recognition, and the 3' end, to which the tRNAs corresponding amino acid is attached (by aminoacyl-tRNA synthetases). tRNAs cope with the degeneracy of the genetic code in two manners: having more than one tRNA (with a specific anti-codon) for a particular amino acid; and 'wobble' base-pairing, i.e. permitting non-standard base-pairing at the 3rd anti-codon position. The record is from RNAcentral. Lineage: Eukaryota; Metazoa; Echinodermata; Echinoidea; Echinothurioida; Echinothuriidae.